AGUCGUAACAAGGUUUCCGUAGGUGAACCUGCGGAAGGUCCAUUACAAAUAAAGGCUGGUAGGAAGUGGGGGCUUGAUCUGUAAGUGGUAGAGCGAACGUCCGGCUGGCCUCCCGAAAUGUCUUACAUGUCCCCCCACAGCCUGAAGGCCGAAUUACAACCCUUGAUUAUCUACACUUAUUGUUUUGGGUGCUCAAGUGCCCCAGAGGACCCAACUCUCCUGCAUUUAGUGACGUCUGAGUACUAUAUAAUAUUUAAAA
RNAcentral lists this unclassified non-coding RNA (259 nucleotides) under plant metagenome. RNAcentral's name for it is "partial contains small subunit ribosomal RNA and internal transcribed spacer 1". The stretch from base 1 to 45 matches the Rfam family "Eukaryotic small subunit ribosomal RNA", at positions 1787 to 1831 of the family's 1831-position model. The record is from RNAcentral.